AUACCUGUCUCAGCCUUUUGGCUACGACCAAGUGCAGUCUCUCUUCUUAUCAGUUUAGUUUAUGAUACGAGGGUCAUCGACAGUUACGAUAUUGAUCUAAUUUCUCUCACGGGUGCAAGUCCAACGGUGCAGCCCUGCUGCCAUGGACUCGUACCACUCGCCUGGGUAUUGCACUAAAUGCACUAAGCUCGAUAUCACGAU
This 201-nucleotide small nuclear RNA is filed under the name Marchantia polymorpha subsp. ruderalis. RNAcentral describes it as "U2 spliceosomal RNA". It matches the Rfam family "U2 spliceosomal RNA". Rfam says of the family: U2 is a small nuclear RNA (snRNA) component of the spliceosome (involved in pre-mRNA splicing). Complementary binding between U2 snRNA (in an area lying towards the 5' end but 3' to hairpin I) and the branchpoint sequence (BPS) of the intron results the bulging out of an unpaired adenosine, on the BPS, which initiates a nucleophilic attack at the intronic 5' splice site, thus starting the first of two transesterification reactions that mediate splicing. Lineage: Eukaryota; Viridiplantae; Streptophyta; Marchantiopsida; Marchantiales; Marchantiaceae. The record is from Rfam by way of RNAcentral.